UUUCCGUAGGUGAACCUGCGGAAGGAUCAUUAUUGACUUGUCAUGGGGUCCGAUGCUGGCAGCCAGUGUUUGGACGCAUCUGCUUGCCCCAACCAUCAUCUUCUUCCAAGAACCUGUGGACCUCUUUGAGGGGGUCUUGAUUUGGUUUCGUCUCUUGGGUGCUUUUCUCACAUUCCCUUAACUCACUAUACGCUAUUAACAAUUUUUAACUUGCUCUGUUCCGCAAGGCCAUUAAUAUAAUACAACUUUUAACAACGGAUCUCUUGGCUCUC
This 272-nucleotide unclassified non-coding RNA is filed under the name plant metagenome. Its description in RNAcentral is "partial contains small subunit ribosomal RNA, internal transcribed spacer 1, and 5.8S ribosomal RNA". The record is from RNAcentral.